AUAGGUCCCAUCCCUUUAAUCACAGAAGAAAAAGAAAUAAUUUUAGCCAGUUAAGCGAAUAGAGGUAAAAUAGUGGGCCUGUAUGAAGUAGAAAUUUUGUUUCGAGAAAUAGCGCGGCGUUUGAACAGAAAUGUGAGUAUUGUAAUUCAAUGUUAGCAAUCAUGGUGUGAAGAAGGCAAAAGAGGUAGAGCAAAAGGUUCCGGAAGACCCAGAGCUACUACAGAGCCACAAGGCCGUAGUCUUAGAUUAUUGGCCCUAAAUGACAGGAGAUGAUUGCUGAUGAAUUUUUUGCCGAUGAGGAUUUAUUGCCCAUUAUUGCACUUACUUCUACCAGCAAACCAUAGGCGCCAACGUACUGACUGGUGUAUGGAACGUCAACAGUGGGAUAAAGAAAGGAAUCACAUUGUGUUUAGUGACGAAUCACGCGAUGCUCUUGUGUUAGAAAGACGGCGACGUGGAAAAAGA
Molecule: long non-coding RNA, 465 nt
Organism: Aethina tumida (small hive beetle)
Lineage: Eukaryota; Metazoa; Arthropoda; Insecta; Coleoptera; Nitidulidae
Exons: 3
Source: RefSeq, a predicted model, not a curated record